GGUUGAUCCUGCCAGUAGUCAUAUGCUUGUCUCAAAGAUUAAGCCAUGCAUGUCUAAGUAUAAACUGCUUAUACUGUGAAACUGCGAAUGGCUCAUUAAAUCAGUUAUAGUUUAUUUGAUGGUACCUCUACUCGGAUAACCGUAGUAAUUCUAGAGCUAAUACGUGCGCACAUCCCGACUUCUGGAAGGGACGUAUUUAUUAGAUAAAAGGCCAGCCGGGGUUUCCCCGACCUGCGUUGACUCAUGGUAACUUCACGAAUCGCAUGGCCUCCGUGCCGGCGAUGUUUCAUUCA
Molecule: ribosomal RNA, 293 nt
Filed under: uncultured eukaryote
Lineage: Eukaryota
Description: partial 18S ribosomal RNA
Rfam family: Eukaryotic small subunit ribosomal RNA
Source: RNAcentral